GAAGAAGCAAAGUGAUGAGUAAUACUCGCAUGAGCCGAAGUGAGCGAGCUGUGUGCGUGUGAAGUUGUGUGUUGGUUGGUUGUGAGAAUUGUGUGCCUUAUAAUUGGGCUGUGAUAGCUAAACUGAUAAGAUCUGAUUGCUUC
This 143-nucleotide small nucleolar RNA is filed under the name Egretta garzetta (little egret). RNAcentral's name for it is "Small nucleolar RNA ZL1". It matches the Rfam family "Small nucleolar RNA ZL1". Rfam says of the family: Host gene TRRAP. Lineage: Eukaryota; Metazoa; Chordata; Aves; Pelecaniformes; Ardeidae. The record is from Rfam by way of RNAcentral.